UCCGUGGAUCCACCGCUUUAGCAUCUCGCGCUCGCUGUUUGGGGGGCACCAGCGUUGCGCCGCCUGGUCCGUCUCCCUCCCAUGGCUCCCCUGGCCCCUGCUUGCCUCGCUGUCCCGUCCGUUUGCCGGACGACCCUUGCGAGCUCCAGGUUCCAAAACAUUUCAAUUGUUGAGGUACAAUAGAAAUGUACAACACCUGCAAUUCCGAAUUCAGUUGCUCCGAAAUUCAGAAAGACCUUAUUGUUUUUUAUGUGAUGAUUUUUCGGAUACAUAGAUGCAUUUGGCCUCUGUAGCUGCAAGUUGCAAACAACCUCUUGAGACAGGUUUAUGCUCGAUCAACCCAUCAAAUGAAUCUAGAAUUCUGGAACCUCAAAUUGAAAUUUCUCAAGAUGGGAAGACAUGAAGAUUUCUAUGAACAACGCUAAAAUAGGUAUUUGGGACGAAGAGAAGAACUGGACAUAAUGUUGGUCAAGAGUUGGCUCCUAUCAUUUUAGUUCCAAAUCAAACUGCCAUGAUAAUUUGUUUUGGCAAUAUAUUCUUGCCAAGAGCAAUUGUGGUGUCGCUGCCAAUAGGUGCCACAAGUAUCAGCAUUAUCUGGGAAGAGGAAGCCAUGACAAGGUGCAGCAGUUCAUGGCCAUAACCGGUGCAAGGUAUAAUUAUCUUUAAUAUUUGGACUGGGAUUCAGUGCUGACUUGUUAGUUUUGUUUAUUAUAGAUCUUUGCUUCUCUACAUCAAUUAUAGCAACUUCGUAAGUGGUGAUGCUGAUGUCGGUAGUUAGUUGGGAGUAACUAGCAAAGAAAUUUGCAAUACAAUACAGUAAUAUCAAUGUUGAACUUAUUGAAUCUAUCGUUUGGGCUCAUUAAGAAACACUAAAAUUUACCUAGCUAGCACCCUUCAUGUUGAUUUGUCGUCGCAGCCAUCCGAUCGUAUUUGUGAGCAUCCUAGAUCAUCUAGUCACAUCAGACUGGACUAUUAUGGCGCAACCCAUCCACCUCAGCCAGACCACCCAUCAGUGGGUUGCUUCUCUGAAGAUUGACCUGAGAGUUUUCUUAUGAGCCGGGCCGAUUGCCGAUGGGUUGUUGGUCAGCCAGCAGGUUUUCCUGCUGAUCGGCCCUCUUGGAUGACUGAAUGGCGCAGGCCCAGCUUAAUUCUGCUCGCCCCCUUCUCUGCCCUUCACUGCGAAGUAACCGGGAGUAAUUAGGCGGAAGCCAGGCCGCCUUCCUUCCAUUAUUGUUGCUCGAACAUAGGCACAUUACUCUGCAUGUAGCCGCCUUAUUUGCCACUCCUCAAUUUUUUUUGCUAUAUUCCUCUUUAUAUGGUGUGUGCUCCAUCCCUCCCGGUUGCCCAUAUGUGAUCUCGCCUUAAUUUGUCUUCCAGUCUUAUCAAUUCCUAUCCUUCCCGAUUUCUUUUUUGUUUGCUAUGGCGGGCGCGGACACCUCACACCUGCGCUUUCGUGGCGCUCCAUAUAUGCCUUCGUGGAAAUCGAAACUGCCCGUCAGGCCAUGAUGAGAGGUAAAAAACCGAUCACAACUGAUAUAUUUCAGGUGUUGUAGAGGCGCACAUGGGAAAUGUUCGAGUCGCUCGGAGGGGAAGUCUACGAUUGUAGGGUUGGGUGAUACUUUGAGAGAGAUGUUGUGCACGUGCAAGAGGAAAACCUGCCGGCCGCCAAGAUGCUUGUGCUCUCAAGCUCAACGCAAUAGCGCAGAGAGAGGAUCAUUUUGUAGCAUAUGUAAUUGCCGUUAUAGUUUCCUGGACAAGUAUCACUGCUACUCUCUCUCUGUACCAGUUCAAUGAAUUGCUAUUUAUUACUACUUGGUUGAUCUUCUAUCUCCAUUUCUACACGAGUUCAUAUACAUAGUUAAGCUUUGAAAUUUGGGGAAAAUACUUCAUAUGUAAGAGAUUAAUAGUCAUACACGCAAAUUAGCAAGAUAGGUUAUUUUCUUUGUCGGGCAUACCAAACUCUCAGGCCCGUUUAUCUUGGGGAUCUGGUUAUGCAUUUGGAUUAUCAUAUAAUUCCUUGCUCCAAGCCUCCAACAUGGCACUAAAAUAGUCUCACAUGUGUUUUUAAAUAUUGCUUUCAGAUGUACUGCCAAAUUUUGAGCUGCAUAAUUUGAUGAUAUUUGCAAUAUUCAUGGUCACUCUGAGAGGAUACUCACUUCAUCUGUAUGAUUGAUCGGUGGUGCUACUUUUCUAUUUGUUGGGAGAUGUUUGGUGCUUCUAUUUUAUUUGUAGGUGUUACAUAAGCCACAAGUUUCUUUGAUGGAAACUGAUUAUUUGAAUCAUCCCAGGUAAUUUAAUCAAGUUACUUCCUGGUACAUGGGUCUAAGGACCACUCUUGCAUUCCUUUUGUCUUUGAUAUUUACUCACUUUAAAAUAGCACAAUGCAGAAAUCAAAAGAUGGUUGACAAUCGAUCAAUUGAUGGUCCGAGGAGAAUUUAGUACGAUUCAGUUGGCAAUGAGUGAUCUGUAGUGAAACUUCUGAAAAGUUCCAUAACUUGGUAAAGAGAAAUAUAUUUUAAAAGAAUGAGACUAUCAACUAAUAUGGUAAUGAUACAAUCAAAUCGAUUUCUCUUGUAAUCUUUUGGACAGAUUUUUUUUUCAAUAUUUGCUCUUCUUGUGUCAACACAGCUGGAAAAACUGUUGAUAAUUUGUUGGAAUAGUUGUACUUAGAUUUGUAUUGUACUCAUUUUGCGGCACCCCAUUUUGUAACUGCUCGUCCCAGCUCUGUAGGAGUCGACAUCGACCCUGUUGCCGGAAGUUUGGAACGUGUUCACCGCUCCAUUCUCUCGUCCAUCGCGCGCUGGCUCUUCCAUCUCUGCUCACCUCGCCAGUCAUCUGUGACGAUAUUACCUGUCCACUGCCCAGCCCGGUCAUGAUUUUGUUGUUGAUUCCCGAGGAGCCUUCCCAUGUCUAAGACUAGUCACAAUGGGAAGUAUCAUACACUAGUAUCAUGCACAUGAUACUAGUUUAUGAUACCACCUCCACAUUGCAUAGUAUCAUAAGAUAGUAUUGUAGUUUGAUUAUAUUUAAUGUUUUGUAGAAUCUCAAUGCAAAUGUGUGUACAUGAU
This is a long non-coding RNA of Lolium perenne, 3068 nucleotides long. RefSeq lists it as uncharacterized. NCBI's taxonomy places the organism in Eukaryota, Viridiplantae, Streptophyta, Magnoliopsida, Poales, Poaceae. The record is from RefSeq and is a predicted model, not a curated record.